AUGGCUCAGGAUGAACGCUAGCUACAGGCUUAACACAUGCAAGUCGAGGGGCAGCAUGAUCGAAGCUUGCUUUGAUUGAUGGCGACCGGCGCACGGGUGAGUAACGCGUAUCCAACCUUCCCUGUAGUAGAGAAUAGCCCGGCGAAAGUCGGAUUAAUGCUCUAUGUUGUAUUUCGAUGACAUCUGAAGAAUACCAAAGGUUUACCGCUAUAGGAUGGGGAUGCGUCUGAUUAGGUUGUUGGCGGGGUAACGGCCCACCAAGCCUACGAUCAGUAGGGGUUCUGAGAGGAAGGUCCCCCACAUUGGAACUGAGACACGGUCCAAACUCCUACGGGAGGCAGCAGUGAGGAAUAUUGGUCAAUGGACGGAAGUCUGAACCAGCCAAGUAAGCGUGCAGGAUGACGGCCCUAUGGGUUGUAAACUGCUUUUAUAUAGGGAUAAAGUCGGGGACGUGUCCCCGUUUGUAGGUACUGUAUGAAUAAGGACCGGCUAAUUCCGUGCCAGCCGCCGC
This 511-nucleotide ribosomal RNA is filed under the name uncultured bacterium. Its description in RNAcentral is "bacterial SSU rRNA". It matches the Rfam family "Bacterial small subunit ribosomal RNA", at positions 19 to 518 of the family's 1533-position model. The record is from RNAcentral.